Molecule: long non-coding RNA, 2149 nt
Organism: Oncorhynchus nerka (sockeye salmon)
Lineage: Eukaryota; Metazoa; Chordata; Actinopteri; Salmoniformes; Salmonidae
Exons: 3
Source: RefSeq, a predicted model, not a curated record
ACAGAAGAGGAAAAUGUAGAGAGGAGGGAGUGAAAGGAUGCCAGGUCCGCAGGGAGGCGAGUUUUCCUCCAUUUCCGCUCGGCUGCCCGGAGCCCUGUUCUGUGAGCUCGCAAUGAGUCGUCGAGCCACGGAGCGGGAGGGGAGGACCGAGCCGGCCUGGAGGAUAGGGGACAUAGAGAGUCAAACACAAGUUUGUUGAAAAUAAACGCAGUUGACAGUGAGAGGACGUUUCUAUUUUUGCUGAGUUUAUUCAUUCGGACUUUUUGACGGUGAAAUUGGGUUCAUUUGGCAAAGUCACCUAUGCAAUACAGUAUUUUCCAAUGUUAUGACAGCCCAUUGAGGCGGACUUCUUUUGAUCUAUCCCAUUACCCUUUGAUACGAGAAAGAUCAGUGCAGGCGUAAUCGUCGCGCUAUAUGGCGUGUGUUUGAUGGCGUAAAGCGUGUCAGGCCUUGCAAAUGUAACUUCACCAGUACAUGUCUCAUUUACCCAAACAACUGGUUCUGAAUGUGGACGGGUACCCUGUUUCUGUUACUUUUUAUAGUUCUGCAUUGUGUACUUUAGCCUGUUAUAAUCAGGCAGUCUUUCUAAGUUCUUGCUUUAACUUAUCUUGCAAAGCCAUAGGCUCUACUGUCUUUCAUGCUCUCUCUCCAAACCAUUAAAACAUGUAGCACACAGCAGCCUAUUUGUUUUGUGUUAAAUCAGAAUUUGCCCAGCGGUCGCUUCUGCACCCAGAUUUAAAGACCAAACCCCAAGUAUUUAAAGAGGCGUAAUCUGUGUUCACACUUUUCACAUGUUUAUAUAAAGAGAAAUGAAAUCGCUCCUGGCCUGCUGCAUGCCUCUUCCUCCUGUCUUAUGUAUCUCACCCAUCAAUAUGAUUUAAGUGGUCUCUGUUGUAACUUGUUGCUCCUGGCCGCAAGGACUCUGGUAGAGGCUGUCUAGCUUCAAUAAACACAUCCUGCUGAGUUAUGCAACAUGUGCCGCAACAGCCAAGUGCACAAACAGUGGCUAGUGCCCAGGUGUUGCCGUAGUACUCUUUUCACUGUAUGAUUAAUGCUAAGGCUACAUAGGGUCAGAAUAAAAGGUUGAGUCAAGUGAAAUAUACAGUACAUAGACAUUCAUUUGUGUCUACAUAUCAAUUGCUAGAGGUACAACAAUGCUAUGGUUAGUCCUGUCUAUGAUUGCGUGUGCUGAGCAAGUUCUAUGUUCAGUUGCACUCAUUUGCCCAAAUCCUGUACCAACGUCAUACCUGUCCUGGACUGAUUUGAUGCAUUUAAGAACAUAAACUGUCAGUGUUUUUGUCAGUGGUGUGUUUUUGGUGCAGGUCCAAUGGAAGAAUACAACCGGGUUUUCUAGCUUUAUGGUAACACUUAACUUCGUCAUCGUCGCGUCUGAGGGAUGACUGGGCUACCUUUUCACGAGAGUUUGAUUCCAAAUCACCUCCGCUUCAUACUGGAAUCAGGGAUGGAUCCCUUUAGGGCUGACACAUUCUGGACAAGGAGAAUCCAUUUUUUUCCCAUCCUCGGGAAGCUUAACUCGAGGAAGAGUUGAUUCUAAGCAUGUGCAAUGUUCUCAAGUUUAACUUAUAUUUGCAUAAUUUUCCACAGGUGGAGGAGAUCAGUCCCAAGUACUCCAAAUUAAACUAUGUGUUUUUAGCCAAGUGCUACAGAGACCUGGGGCAAAAAAGUCAGGCCAGGAAGAUGUGUGAUGCUGCUACUUCAAUGGAAACCAUUUCCAAAGAGGAUGAGGAGGCACAGAAGGAGCUGGACACCCUUCUCUCUGCUCUAGGUGUUAAUUGAGGACAUUGUGGAAUGGCUCCAUCCUAUUGCAAGGGAGGAACCCAGGGACAGUUGGACCUAAAUCAAUCAAUGGUGUUGGUCCCAAUGGGAUAUACAUUAUCUACCACCUCACAUCAAUACAGUCAGAAAUUAAGUGUAGGGGACCAGGCAAUACAUUUUAUGAAGAUUUUAAUAAUUCUACUGAAGUUGUUUUCAAUACGAUUGAUCACCUGUAUCAACCCAAACAGAUAUAUCCAAAACAAAAACAUAAUCAUUUCAAACCUUGCUUACAUUUGUAUACAAUCACAUUAUCUCUAUUAUGCGUGGGAAUACUUGGGAACAGAUUUUCUCAAUUAAAAUGACUUGAAGCUGA